Molecule: ribosomal RNA, 601 nt
Filed under: Chachezhania antarctica
Lineage: Bacteria; Pseudomonadati; Pseudomonadota; Alphaproteobacteria; Rhodobacterales; Paracoccaceae
Description: bacterial SSU rRNA
Rfam family: Bacterial small subunit ribosomal RNA
Source: RNAcentral
CGGCGGACGGGUGAGUAACGCGUGGGAACGUACCCAGAUCUGCGGAAUAGCCACUGGAAACGGUGAGUAAUACCGCAUACGCCCUUCGGGGGAAAGAUUUAUCGGAUUUGGAUCGGCCCGCGUUAGAUUAGGUAGUUGGUGGGGUAAUGGCCUACCAAGCCUACGAUCUAUAGCUGGUUUUAGAGGAUGAUCAGCCACACUGGGACUGAGACACGGCCCAGACUCCUACGGGAGGCAGCAGUGGGGAAUCUUAGACAAUGGGCGCAAGCCUGAUCUAGCCAUGCCGCGUGAGUGAUGAAGGCCUUAGGGUCGUAAAGCUCUUUCGCCUGUGAAGAUAAUGACGGUAGCAGGUAAAGAAGUCCCGGCUAACUCCGUGCCAGCAGCCGCGGUAAUACGGAGGGGACUAGCGUUGUUCGGAAUUACUGGGCGUAAAGCGCGCGUAGGCGGACUAGUCAGUCAGAGGUGAAAUCCCAGGGCUCAACCCUGGAACUGCCUUUGAUACUGCUAGUCUUGAGUUCGAGAGAGGUGAGUGGAAUUCCGAGUGUAGAGGUGAAAUUCGUAGAUAUUCGGAAGAACACCAGUGGCGAAGGCGGCUCACUGG